This 223-nucleotide long non-coding RNA is filed under the name Homo sapiens (human). RNAcentral describes it as "LNC_000913". The record is from RNAcentral. Lineage: Eukaryota; Metazoa; Chordata; Mammalia; Primates; Hominidae.
UUCCAACUCAUCAUUAUUCAACAUAAUAUUUCUAGGCAGGUCAGCCAAAAUCAAGUCAGGGGCAAUCUGAGAUAUUGGAAUGGUGAGCCUUGGUUGAUCUGGAUUUACUAAGAGAUCUCCUUCCUCUGCUUUCUUCAUCAAGUCAUCAAGUAAGAUUUUUUGAUGUUCUUCACCAUCAUUAAAACUAUAUAAUGCCCAUUUCUUCAACAGAGUUUCUCCUUCA